This 467-nucleotide ribosomal RNA is filed under the name uncultured bacterium. RNAcentral describes it as "partial 16S ribosomal RNA". It matches the Rfam family "Bacterial small subunit ribosomal RNA", at positions 28 to 507 of the family's 1533-position model. The record is from RNAcentral.
GACGAACGCUGGCGGCGUGCUUAACACAUGCAAGUCGAACGGAAAGGCCCCAGCUUGCUGGAGUACUCGAGUGGCGAACGGGUGAGUAACACGUGGGUAAUCUGCCCUGCACUCUGGGAUAAGCCUGGGAAACUGGGUCUAAUACUGGAUAUGACCUUUCUCCUUAUGGGGUUUGGUGGAAAGUUUUUCGGUGUAGGAUGAGCCCGCGGCCUAUCAGCUUGUUGGUGGGGUGAUGGCCUACCAAGGCGACGACGGGUAGCCGGCCUGAGAGGGUGAUCGGCCACAUUGGGACUGAGAUACGGCCCAGACUCCUACGGGAGGCAGCAGUGGGGAGUAUUGCACAAUGGGCGGAAGCCUGAUGCAGCGACGCCGCGUGAGGGAUGACGGCCUUCGGGUUGUAAACCUCUUUCAGCAGAGACGAAGCGUAAGUGACGGUACCUGCAGAAGAAGCACCGGCUAACUAUGUG